UAGGGGGCAAGCGUUAUCCGGAUUUACUGGGUGUAAAGGGCGCGUAGGCGGCAUGGCAAGUCUGAUGUGAAAACCCAGGGCUCAACCCUGGGAGUGCAUUGGAAACUGUCAGGCUGGAGUGUCGGAGAGGUAAGCGGAAUUCCUAGUGUAGCGGUGAAAUGCGUAGAUAUUAGGAGGAACACCAGUGGCGAAGGCGGCUUACUGGACGAUGACUGACGCUGAGGCUCGAAAGCGUGGGGAGCAA
RNAcentral lists this ribosomal RNA (244 nucleotides) under uncultured bacterium. Its description in RNAcentral is "partial 16S ribosomal RNA". It matches the Rfam family "Bacterial small subunit ribosomal RNA", at positions 528 to 771 of the family's 1533-position model. The record is from RNAcentral.